Podarcis lilfordi (Lilford's wall lizard) is the source of this 321-nucleotide non-coding RNA. The record is from the annotation of a GenBank genome assembly. NCBI's taxonomy places the organism in Eukaryota, Metazoa, Chordata, Lepidosauria, Squamata, Lacertidae.
GGAUGUGAGGGUGAUCUGGCUGCAACAUCUGUCACCCCCAUUGAUCUCCAGGGUUGAUUCGGCUGAUCUGGCUGGCUAGGCGGGUGUCCCCUUCCUCCUCACUGCUCCAUGUGCGUCCCUCCCGAAGCUGCGCGCUCGGUGGAAGAGGACUACCAUCCCAGAUAGAAGGAGUGUUCCAUUCUUCGGUCAAGGGUAUACGAUAGCUGUACUCCCCUGCUAGAACCUCCAAACAAGCACAAAACAUUAUGCAGGGGUAUAGUUACCAGAAACAGGGGCUCUUACUGCAUUAUUAGUCUUGUUCAUUCAGAGUCUAGUUCAGCA